RNAcentral lists this ribosomal RNA (420 nucleotides) under uncultured bacterium. RNAcentral's name for it is "bacterial SSU rRNA". It matches the Rfam family "Bacterial small subunit ribosomal RNA", at positions 356 to 773 of the family's 1533-position model. The record is from RNAcentral.
AAGGAAUAUUGGUCAAUGGACGAAAGUCUGAACCAGCCAUGCCGCGUGGAGGAUGAAGGUCCUCUGGAUUGUAAACUUCUUUUAUAUGGGACGAAAAAAGGCUUUUCUAAGUCGUCUGACGGUACCAUAUGAAUAAGCACCGGCUAACUCCGUGCCAGCAGCCGCGGUAAUACGGAGGGUGCAAGCGUUAUCCGGAUUCACUGGGUUUAAAGGGUGCGUAGGUGGGUUGGUAAGUCAGUGGUGAAAUCCCCGAGCUUAACUUGGGAACUGCCAUUGAUACUAUCAGUCUUGAAUACCGUGGAGGUCAGCGGAAUAUGUCAUGUAGCGGUGAAAUGCUUAGAUAUGACAUAGAACACCAAUUGCGAAGGCAGCUGGCUACUCGAUUAUUGACACUGAGGCACGAAAGCGUGGGGAUCAAAC